CGCCCCCUGAUCACGUAAAAAUUUGCGACAGCCACAAUUUUGCAGAUGUUGUGCAGACGCGUCGCGACCGAUCGCAAAACGUCAAAUUAUUUCGUAUCACGUACCGCGAUUGUUCGCUUACCGCUUACUGCAGUUUUCUGUCAUACAACUAGCGCCAGUCGCAAUCGGGUAGCAAUAAUUGGCACUAAAAAGCCACAUUACUUUUUUUUUUUUGCUGAACAAACUGGCAAAUGAAUUUAUAAAAGCGCGUUACAUAUAAACAUUUCAAAAUGUUUAAGUGGAAUUCACGUUUGAAACGCCAAGUGAGAGCUGCUAAUUCUGUUCUUUUCGAUGAAGCGUUACUAAAAAUAAGUGAUCUAAUAAUAAUUUUUGCUUUAUUUUGAAUAAUAGCUAUAAAAAUGUAAUAGUGUCGUCAAACACAGGUAAAAUUUUUUUUUUUAAUCGUUUGAUAAUUUGUAAUCAGAUAGUUGUUUACGUUACGAACCUAUUUUAAAAAAGGAUGAAUCAAAAUUAUAGCCUAAUUUAUUAAUUUCAUUAUCAAUUAAGUAAGUACAUAAGCUCACAACCCAUCUAGUGUUAAGUGGUAUAGACCUCACAACGUGAAUGCCGCCCCCAUUUUUUGAAACGAGGUCUGAGUUUCAACUGUAUACCAAAACGGCUGCCCCAUUCUUCAAAUUGCAACGCAUUACUGCUUCGUGGUAGAAAUGGGCGGAAUGGUGGUCUUGCGGGUUAAUCAAACGCCCUACCACCAACGAUUUCAGAAUAUUUGCUAAUUUGAUUUUAAAUAAAAGAUGGAUCCUUAAUCAUGGAAGUCUUCCAUGUAUACCUAUAUGUCAAAUACAUGUUUCAUUGGAUUUAUUGAUAUCUGCCUGCGGGAUUCUAGCACUGGUUCAGUAAGAUUUCAAAUUAAAUAGUAAAUUCUAGAAUAAAUGAGUUAGUUUUAUGGUUUUAUCAAUAAUAAAGUGUACAACAGAUCCAUCUUACGCCGACAUGAGGCCGACAACGCUAGAACAACCAGUCGAUGAUAUUCUAGGCGAGAUGCUGCUAUUCUUUAUCAAGUAAUAGAUAGUGGAUUUGUUUGACUUGGCAAGAGUAGGCUUUGAUUUGAAUACCAGAAAUAUAGUGCAGUCUUUCACAGCUUGAAGGGAAAUAAAAGCUGUGCAGACUAUUCAUAAUAAUGUUCACCCAAGGUCAUGGGCAAUAUGACGUGAAUAGGAAACUGCAUUUCAGACAUUAACUUAAUGUUCUAUAUUAUUUUUAAACAAAUGAAUCUAAUAUUUUAAGACAAUAAAUAAAUAUUUAUUUUUAUAAUUAGCCCAGUUUUUCGUCGACGAAGCCAUCUUAAGAGAAGCUUCAUUGCAAAUAUCAGGCCGAUAUUUAACUAUAGCGGACAACAAACAAGAGUAGACACAUCGUGAGCUGUAGUUGUAGAAAGAGGAGAAAAUGGAAACUAAGGCGAACCACUGGCUCAUACAGCUUUCAUUUCAGCAGAGGCUGCUCGUACGCAGGCAGAGGCCGCGCAUCUUCCAGCUGAGAUAUAUAAAAAAAUUCAAGGAAUUGACCAAUAUCGGCAAAAACCUUGUUUAAAAUAA
Molecule: long non-coding RNA, 1592 nt
Organism: Bombyx mori (domestic silkworm)
Lineage: Eukaryota; Metazoa; Arthropoda; Insecta; Lepidoptera; Bombycidae
Exons: 2
Source: RefSeq, a predicted model, not a curated record